Molecule: ribosomal RNA, 253 nt
Filed under: uncultured bacterium
Lineage: Bacteria
Description: partial 16S ribosomal RNA
Rfam family: Bacterial small subunit ribosomal RNA
Source: RNAcentral
UACGUAGGGCGCAAGCGUUAUCCGGAAUUAUUGGGCGUAAAGAGCUCGUAGGCGGUCUGUUGCGUCGGGAGUGAAAACUUACAGCUUAACUGUGAGCGUGCUUCCGAUACGGGCAGACUUGAGGUAUUCAGGGGAGAACGGAAUUCCUGGUGUAGCGGUGAAAUGCGCAGAUAUCAGGAGGAACACCGGUGGCGAAGGCGGUUCUCUGGGAAUAUCCUGACGCUGAGGAGCGAAAGUGUGGGGAGCGAACAGG